This 88-nucleotide transfer RNA is filed under the name Bacteroidota bacterium. RNAcentral describes it as "tRNA-Ser". It matches the Rfam family "tRNA". From Rfam's summary of the family: Transfer RNA (tRNA) molecules are approximately 80 nucleotides in length. Their secondary structure includes four short double-helical elements and three loops (D, anti-codon, and T loops). Further hydrogen bonds mediate the characteristic L-shaped molecular structure. tRNAs have two regions of fundamental functional importance: the anti-codon, which is responsible for specific mRNA codon recognition, and the 3' end, to which the tRNAs corresponding amino acid is attached (by aminoacyl-tRNA synthetases). tRNAs cope with the degeneracy of the genetic code in two manners: having more than one tRNA (with a specific anti-codon) for a particular amino acid; and 'wobble' base-pairing, i.e. permitting non-standard base-pairing at the 3rd anti-codon position. Lineage: Bacteria; Pseudomonadati; Bacteroidota. The record is from RNAcentral. RNAcentral also lists the same sequence under 1 other name.
GGAGAGAUGUCCGAGUGGUUUAAGGAGCGCGCCUGGAAAGUGCGUAUACGCCAAAAGCGUAUCCAGGGUUCGAAUCCCUGUCUCUCCG